AGUUCCGAGCCCCCGAGCCGAAAACACGUACUGUUCCACACCCUUAGCUUCAUAGCCGGCUUUUCCCUGGUCUUUACCGCCCUGGGGGCGUCUCUGGGCAUGUUGGGGGCGAUGAUACCCCCAGAGCCGCUGCGCAAUGCAGCAGGCGCACUACUGAUAGUAUUCGGGUUGUUCUUGCUGGCGGCAAUGAAAGUACCCUGGCUGAACUAUGAGAAACGUCUCGACUUCGCCCACGUGAAGCGUUCAGGGUAUCUCAGGUCUCUAUUGAUAGGAGCUAUAUUCUCUCUUGGCUGGACUCCUUGUGUUGGCCCAGUUCUGGGAGGCAUACUGGCCCUGGCAUGGAGUUCACAGACAGUGUGGCAGGGGAUCUAUCUCUUGCUUGCCUAUUGCCUGGGUC
This 397-nucleotide ribosomal RNA is filed under the name uncultured eukaryote. Its description in RNAcentral is "partial small subunit ribosomal RNA". The record is from RNAcentral.